UACGUAGGUGGCAAGCGUUGUCCGGCUUUACUGGGCGUAAAGAGCGCGCAGGCGGUCGUUCAAGUCGGGUGUGAAAGCCCCCGGCUCAACUGGGGAGGGUCACGCGAUACUGAUCGACUCGAAGGCAGGAGAGGGUAGUGGAAUUCCCGGUGUAGUGGUGAAAUGCGUAGAUAUCGGGAGGAACACCAGUGGCGAAGGCGACUACCUGGCCUGUUCUUGACGCUGAGGCGCGAAAGCUAGGGGAGCAAACGGG
RNAcentral lists this ribosomal RNA (253 nucleotides) under uncultured bacterium. RNAcentral's name for it is "partial 16S ribosomal RNA". It matches the Rfam family "Bacterial small subunit ribosomal RNA", at positions 524 to 776 of the family's 1533-position model. The record is from RNAcentral.